Molecule: ribosomal RNA, 253 nt
Filed under: uncultured bacterium
Lineage: Bacteria
Description: partial 16S ribosomal RNA
Rfam family: Bacterial small subunit ribosomal RNA
Source: RNAcentral
UACAGAGGGUGCAAGCGUUGUUCGGAAUUAUUGGGCGUAAAGCGCGUGUAGGCGGCUAUGCAAGUCUGGUGUGAAAGCCCUCGGCUCAACCGAGGAAGUGCGCCCGAAACUGCAUGGCUUGAGUGCCGGAGAGGAUGGCGGAAUUCCCCAAGUAGAGGUGAAAUUCGUAGAUAUCGGGAGGAACACCAGUGGCGUAAGCGAUCACCUGGGCUAGACCUGACGCUGAGGGACGAAGGCGUGGGGAGCAAACGGG